RNAcentral lists this ribosomal RNA (497 nucleotides) under uncultured bacterium. RNAcentral's name for it is "partial 16S ribosomal RNA". It matches the Rfam family "Bacterial small subunit ribosomal RNA", at positions 28 to 507 of the family's 1533-position model. The record is from RNAcentral.
GAUGAACGCUGGCGGCGUGCCUAAUACAUGCAAGUCGAGCGAACGGACGAGAAGCUUGCUUCUCUGAUGUUAGCGGCGGACGGGUGAGUAACACGUGGAUAACCUACCUAUAAGACUGGGAUAACUUCGGGAAACCGGAGCUAAUACCGGAUGAUAUUUUGAACCGCAUGGUUCAAAAGUGAAAGACGGUCUUGCUGUCACUUAUAGAUGGAUCCGCGCUGCAUUAGCUAGUUGGUAAGGUAACGGCUUACCAAGGCAACGAUGCAUAGCCGACCUGAGAGGGUGAUCAGCCACACUGGAACUGAGACACGGUCCAGACUCCUACGGGAGGCAGCAGUAGGGAAUCUUCCGCCAUGGGCGCAAGCCUGACGGCGCACCGCCGCGUGAGUGAUGAAGGUCUUCGGAUCGUAAAACUCUGUUAUUAGGGAAGAACAUAUGUGUACGUAACUGUGCACAUCUUGACGGUACCUCCUCCGAAAGCCACGGCUCCCUACGUG